This 331-nucleotide ribosomal RNA is filed under the name uncultured bacterium. RNAcentral's name for it is "bacterial SSU rRNA". It matches the Rfam family "Bacterial small subunit ribosomal RNA", at positions 568 to 898 of the family's 1533-position model. The record is from RNAcentral.
CGUGCAGGCGGGCCGAAAGUCUGAUGUGAAAGCCCCGGGCUCAACCUGGGAAGUGCAUUGGAAACUGUUGGUCUUGAGUUCUGGAGAGGAAGGGGGAAUUCCCGGUGUAGAGGUGAAAUUCGUAGAGAUCGGGAGGAAUACCAGUGGCGAAGGCGCCCUUCUGGACGGCAACUGACGCUGAGACGCGAAAGCGUGGGGAGCAAACAGGAUUAGAUACCCUGGUAGUCCACGCUGUAAACGAUGAGCACUAGGUGUAGCGGGUACUCAUUCCUGCUGUGCCGCAGCUAACGCGUUAAGUGCUCCGCCUGGGGAUUACGGUCGCAAGACUAAA